UACAGAGGGUGCAAGCGUUAAUCGGAGUUACUGGGCGUAAAGGGCACGUAGGCGGUCGAAUAGGUCAGUUGUGAAAUCCCCGGGCUUAACCUGGGAACUGCAAAUGAUACUGUUAGACUAGAGUCGAAGAGAGGGAAGUGGAAUUUCCGGUGUAGCGGUGAAAUGCGUAGAUAUCGGAAGGAACAUCAGUGGCGAAGGCGACUUCCUGGCUUCAGACUGACGCUGAGGUGCGAAAGCGUGGGUAGCGAACAGG
Molecule: ribosomal RNA, 253 nt
Filed under: uncultured bacterium
Lineage: Bacteria
Description: partial 16S ribosomal RNA
Rfam family: Bacterial small subunit ribosomal RNA
Source: RNAcentral